Molecule: long non-coding RNA, 277 nt
Organism: Mastomys coucha (southern multimammate mouse)
Lineage: Eukaryota; Metazoa; Chordata; Mammalia; Rodentia; Muridae
Exons: 3
Source: RefSeq, a predicted model, not a curated record
CAGGCUUCUAAAGCAAAAAAGCCAUCAAGAAUCAAAUCCAGUUGUGACCCUGUAAAGCAAAGCAACAGCUGUCCUGGCAGGAAAGCAAACAGCAUUGCCCAUCACUGGAGGUUUUAAUGUUUGAAGAAGAAACUAUUUGGUCUUAAGGCCUGUGGUACAUAUUUUAUCAUCUUCUCAGUCUAGGAAAGCUGCAUCCAUCCAUGAAAAUUCAACAAUAUGGUUACCUAGAUAGAAUCUGCAUAAAGAUGACACCAGGGGACAUUACAAAAGUUAUCAA